GGAAACAAAGAGAAUUACUAACUGGGUGCCACGAUUCGUCAUUCUCGACAUGCCCAUGGUUCUGAUGAUGUGUCCUGUGGCUAAUUCUCCUGCAGCAUUCAUUCAUCCAAAAGCAAAUCCAUGAAAUAUGAAACAAUCCAAAGUUCACCC
Molecule: long non-coding RNA, 150 nt
Organism: Telopea speciosissima
Lineage: Eukaryota; Viridiplantae; Streptophyta; Magnoliopsida; Proteales; Proteaceae
Exons: 3
Source: RefSeq, a predicted model, not a curated record